Molecule: ribosomal RNA, 253 nt
Filed under: uncultured Bellilinea sp.
Lineage: Bacteria; Bacillati; Chloroflexota; Anaerolineae; Anaerolineales; Anaerolineaceae
Description: partial 16S ribosomal RNA
Rfam family: Bacterial small subunit ribosomal RNA
Source: RNAcentral
AACGUAGGAGCCUAGCGUUAUCCGAAUUUACUGGGCGUAAAGCGCGUGUCGGCGGUUAGGUAAGUUGGCUGUGAAAUCUCCCGGCUCAACUGGGAGAGGCCGGUCAAGACUGCCUGGCUUGAGGCUGGUAGAGGGAGGUGGAAUUCCGGGUGUAGUGGUGAAAUGCGUAGAUAUCCGGAGGAACACCAGUGGCGAAAGCGGCCUCCUGGACCAGACCUGACGCUCAGACGCGAAAGCUAGGGGAGUGAACGGG